UGUACAUUUUAGAAAAUUCCCUAAAAUUGAACUUUAGUUGAGUUGAAGGAAGCCAUAAAUAAAGCUGGUAAUGACAAAGAUUGUAGGCUAUUAAUUUUAAAUGGAUUUGGGCAAACAUUUUGCUUAGGGCUAGACGUAAGACCUCUUGUGGAAGAUCAUAAAAAUGAAGUUGUUGGUGAUAUUGCCAAUUCUGUCAAGGAUUUGAUUAGUACAUUGGCAGACUUCCAAAAGCCUUUAUUUGCCAUUGUGAAUGGUGCUGCAUAUGGCCUUGGAUUAACGAUUU
Parasteatoda tepidariorum (common house spider) is the source of this 283-nucleotide non-coding RNA. Lineage: Eukaryota; Metazoa; Arthropoda; Arachnida; Araneae; Theridiidae. The record is from RefSeq and is a predicted model, not a curated record.